Molecule: transfer RNA, 76 nt
Filed under: Verrucomicrobiota bacterium
Lineage: Bacteria; Pseudomonadati; Verrucomicrobiota
Also listed under: 3 other names
Description: tRNA-Phe
Rfam family: tRNA
About the family: Transfer RNA (tRNA) molecules are approximately 80 nucleotides in length. Their secondary structure includes four short double-helical elements and three loops (D, anti-codon, and T loops).
Source: RNAcentral
GGCUGGGUAGCUCAGUUGGUAGAGCAGCGGACUGAAAAUCCGCGUGUCGCCGGUUCGAUUCCGGCCCCAGCCACCA